GCGAUCGAUGGGAGCUUGCUCCCUGAGAUUAGCGGCGGACGGGUGAGUAACACGUGGGCAACCUGCCUAUAAGACUGGGAUAACUUCGGGAAACCGGAGCUAAUACCGGAUACGUUCUUUUCUCGCAUGAGAGAAGAUGGAAAGACGGUUUACGCUGUCACUUAUAGAUGGGCCCGCGGCGCAUUAGCUAGUUGGUGAGGUAAUGGCUCACCAAGGCGACGAUGCGUAGCCGACCUGAGAGGGUGAUCGGCCACACUGGGACUGAGACACGGCCCAGACUCCUACGGGAGGCAGCAGUAGGGAAUCUUCCGCAAUGGACGAAAGUCUGACGGAGCAACGCCGCGUGAACGAAGAAGGCCUUCGGGUCGUAAAGUUCUGUUGUUAGGGAAGAACAAGUACCAGAGUAACUGCUGGUACCUUGACGGUACCUAACCAGAAAGCCACGGCUAACUACGUGCCAGCAGCCGCGGUAAUACGUAGGUGGCAAGCGUUGUCCGGAAUUAUUGGGCGUAAAGCGCGCGCAGGUGGUUCUUUAAGUCUGAUGUGAAAGCCCACGGCUCAACCGUGGAGGGUCAUUGGAAACUGGGGAACUUGAGUGCAGAAGAGGAAAGUGGAAUUCCAAGUGUA
This 627-nucleotide ribosomal RNA is filed under the name Bacillus sp. 13971. Its description in RNAcentral is "bacterial SSU rRNA". It matches the Rfam family "Bacterial small subunit ribosomal RNA", at positions 66 to 677 of the family's 1533-position model. Lineage: Bacteria; Bacillati; Bacillota; Bacilli; Caryophanales; Bacillaceae. The record is from RNAcentral.